UACGUAGGGGGCUAGCGUUGUCCGGAAUCAUUGGGCGUAAAGCGCGUGUAGGCGGUCCGGUAAGUCCGCUGUGAAAGUCGGGGGCUCAACCCUCGGAUGCCGGUGGAUACUGUCGGGCUUGAGUACGGAAGAGGCGAGUGGAAUUCCUGGUGUAGCGGUGAAAUGCGCAGAUAUCAGGAGGAACACCGGUGGCGAAGGCGGCAUCCUGGACCAACACUGACACUGAGGAGCGAAAGCCAGGGGAGCAAACGGG
Molecule: ribosomal RNA, 253 nt
Filed under: uncultured bacterium
Lineage: Bacteria
Description: partial 16S ribosomal RNA
Rfam family: Bacterial small subunit ribosomal RNA
Source: RNAcentral